This 497-nucleotide ribosomal RNA is filed under the name uncultured bacterium. RNAcentral's name for it is "partial 16S ribosomal RNA". It matches the Rfam family "Bacterial small subunit ribosomal RNA", at positions 28 to 507 of the family's 1533-position model. The record is from RNAcentral.
GAUGAACGCUGGCGGCGUGCCUAAUACAUGCAAGUCGAGCGAACAGACGGGGAGCUUGCUCCUCUGACGUUAGCGGCGGACGGGUGAGUAACACGUGGAUAACCUACCUAUAAGACUGGGAUAACUUCGGGAAACCGGAGCUAAUACCGGAUAAUAUAUUGAACCGCAUGGUUCCAUAGUGAAAGACGGUUUUGCUGUCACUUAAAGAUGGAUCCGCGCCGCAUUCGCUAGUUGGUAAGGUAAUGGCUUACCAAGGCAACGAUGGGUAGCCGACCUGAGAGGGUGAUCGGCCACACGGGAACUGAGACACGGCCCAGACUCUGGCGGGAGGCAGCGGUAGGGAAUCUUCCGCAAGGGGGGAAAGCCUGACGGAGCAAAGCGGCGUGAGUGAUGAAGCUCUUCGGAUCGUAAAACUCUGUUAGUAGGGAAGAACAAAUGUGUAAUUAACUAUGAACGUCUUGACGGUACCUAAUCAGAAAGCCACGGCUAACUCCGUG